RNAcentral lists this ribosomal RNA (310 nucleotides) under uncultured fungus. RNAcentral describes it as "SSU rRNA". It matches the Rfam family "Eukaryotic small subunit ribosomal RNA", at positions 39 to 352 of the family's 1831-position model. Lineage: Eukaryota; Fungi. The record is from RNAcentral.
AAAGAUUAAGCCAUGCAUGUCUAAGUAUACGCAAAUUAUACUGUGAAACUGCGAAUGGCUCAUUAAAUCAGUUAUAGUUUAUUUGAUGUUUCUUGCUACAUGGAUAACUGUGGUAAUUCUAGAGCUAAUACAUGCGUAAAAAGCCCCGACUUCUGGAAGGGGUGUAUUUAUUAGAUAAAAACCAUCCUCCUCGGAGUUUGGUGAUUCAUAAUAACUUCUCGAAUCGCACUGCCUUGUGCUGGCGAUGCUUCAUUCAAAUAUCUGCCCUAUCAACUGUCGAUGGUAGUGAUUCAGAGGCCUACCAUGGUUG